CAUCGCUCUGACGCCCUCCUUUGCCCAAAUGCUGCAGAAACGAUUCACUACUGACUGUGUCUACUGCAAUAGCCUGUGUCCCAGUUCUACAAUAGUCUCCGAACUAUCCGCCUGAAAAAAAGAGAAGCAGUCUCAGGGGAUCAAAGAGCGCAGCCAGCCAUAUGCAAAUUGAAUCAAGAUGGACGGUGCUAGACGUUUUUUUCGCCAUAACGGGCUAUUGCAGUUUGUUCUUUGUGAAACAGCUGUCCUGUUUAGCUCCCUGUCUCCAGUGGAUUACUGAAUCUGAUUACUCUGGGGAGAGGUCUUUGGAUUAUACUGAUGUUGUGGUCUGUAAAGAUUCAGCAUCUCUCAGAAUCAAAGAGUUGCUUCCUUUUAACUGGGUUUAAUUUGAGUGGUAAUAUAAAAACUGACUAGUGCCACAUAUGGCUGGUAGCCCCAUAGAGUGACUGUGAUGACAAAGCUUUGAGUGUCCGCCAUCUCACACACUUAGUAAAGCACUUUAGUUACUGCCAUUUAUGCACAGACGGACAUUUUGAUUGCUGUCGAAUGCACACUGUUUAUUACAUAUUAUGCUGAUUUGUGUAAAAGGGUUUACAUUAUUUCAUUUUGUGUUCAUGCUGAUAUUGACUUCAUCUAAUUCAAUUUCAUGCUUGCUCUCAGACUUCGGAUUCUGUGUUUAUUUGGUCAGAAAGUGGCACAUACCUGGCUAUAACAACAGUGUUGGUGUACAUUAAGUCAUUUCAACACUCUGCAUAAUGUUCAGAUUGUAUUUCUGUUUUUCUUCAAUGUUCCAGCACCUGUUUUGUUAAACUGAAGAUUUCAUUUUUUCCGUUGGAAGCAAGUCUGCAUUCACUGCUUUAGCUUCACUGGGUCAUGGGAUGAGGCAGGAAAUUUAAAAAAAUCUUUUUUGUUGUUUUUAUUAACAAUAUCCUCGUCCAGUUGCUCGAUUUAUUUUGUUCAACAUCCGUAAGGUAAAAAAUAAUAAAGCAUUCUUUUUUCACCAGGUUUCUUGUCCAUGGUGAUCUUAGGCUUGUGUACGGCUGCUCGGCCACAGAAACCCAUUUCAUGGUGCUAUUAAUGAACAGUUCUUGUGCUGACGUUGUUUCCAGAGGUAGU
Long non-coding RNA from Anguilla anguilla (European eel), 1116 nucleotides. RefSeq lists it as uncharacterized. The record is from RefSeq and is a predicted model, not a curated record. The transcript is spliced from 3 exons. Lineage: Eukaryota; Metazoa; Chordata; Actinopteri; Anguilliformes; Anguillidae.